This 492-nucleotide ribosomal RNA is filed under the name uncultured bacterium. Its description in RNAcentral is "partial 16S ribosomal RNA". It matches the Rfam family "Bacterial small subunit ribosomal RNA", at positions 29 to 507 of the family's 1533-position model. The record is from RNAcentral.
AGUGAACGCUGGCGGUAGGCCUAACACAUGCAAGUCGAACGGCAGCACAGUAAGAGCUUGCUCUUACGGGUGGCGAGUGGCGGACGGGUGAGGAAUACAUCGGAAUCUACUUUUUCGUGGGGGAUAACGUAGGGAAACUUACGCUAAUACCGCAUACGACCUACGGGUGAAAGCAGGGGAUCUUCGGACCUUGCGCGAUUGAAUGAGCCGAUGUCGGAUUAGCUAGUUGGCGGGGUAAAGGCCCACCAAGGCGACGAUCCGUAGCUGGUCUGAGAGGAUGAUCAGCAACACUGGAACUGAGACACGGGCCAGACGCCUACGGGAGGGAGCAGUGGGGAAUAUUGGACAAUGGGCGCAAGCCUGAUCCAGCCAUACCGCGUGGGUGAAGAAGGCCUUCGGGUUGUAAAGCCCUUUUGUUGGGAAAGAAAAGCAGCAGGUUAAUACCCCGCUGUUCUGACGGUACCCAAAGAAUAAGCACCGGCUAACUUCGUG